Molecule: ribosomal RNA, 266 nt
Filed under: Stenotrophomonas sp. ISO134_OTU2931
Lineage: Bacteria; Pseudomonadati; Pseudomonadota; Gammaproteobacteria; Lysobacterales; Lysobacteraceae
Also listed under: 3 other names
Description: partial 16S ribosomal RNA
Rfam family: Bacterial small subunit ribosomal RNA
Source: RNAcentral
GUGAACGCUGGCGGUAGGCCUAACACAUGCAAGUCGAACGGCAGCACAGUAAGAGCUUGCUCUUAUGGGUGGCGAGUGGCGGACGGGUGAGGAAUACAUCGGAAUCUACCUUUUCGUGGGGGAUAACGUAGGGAAACUUACGCUAAUACCGCAUACGACCUUCGGGUGAAAGCAGGGGACCUUCGGGCCUUGCGCGGAUAGAUGAGCCGAUGUCGGAUUAGCUAGUUGGCGGGGUAAAGGCCCACCAAGGCGACGAUCCGUAGCUG